This 311-nucleotide long non-coding RNA is filed under the name Phascolarctos cinereus (koala). Its description in RNAcentral is "lncRNA (ENSPCIG00000012208.2)". Lineage: Eukaryota; Metazoa; Chordata; Mammalia; Diprotodontia; Phascolarctidae. The record is from RNAcentral.
CUUGAGGUCAGCAUCUGUCCCACAAGGGAGAUCUAGGAUCAAUUUAUGGAAGCUGCAGAGGUAGUUUUUGAUGUUAAGAAUGUUUCUUUAAAUACUAUGGGACUUUUUUCUUAAACCUGUUGCGACCAGAUCCACUAUGAUGUACCUCUUCUUCUCUAAAUCCUAAAGGAGCAGUCAUUUAAAGUAUGCCUUGGAGAAGGGAGGAAGAGUCCCUCAGGAGAGAAAGAAUAAGACAGAAAAGAAUGUAGAAAGCUUUCCUCAAAGCAUUAAUGGAAACCAGCUUGAUGUGAGAACUAUAAAGCACCUGACCC